CCAACUCGUUUUCGCUGGUUGCCACUUGCCAUCUCAAAUCUCUCUCUCUCUCUCUCUCUCUCUCUCUCUCUCUCGAAACGAUUCAUCGUCUCCGGCCAGCUCCGCUGAACUCACCCCUUCGUUUUCUGAAACCGAUUCCAGAGUUAUGAAUUGGGUUCAACGAAAGAUCUAUCUUUACAAUGUGACAUUUGGGCUCUAUAUGUUGGAUUGGUGGGAGCGUUAUCUCUUCAAUACUUUGGUUGUUGUGUUACUGUGGUUCUUGUGUUACAAUGGCUCACGAUAUUUGAUGGAGUUUGGGAAGAGUGUCAGGCGUCUAUGGUGAGGCCUGGACUCUGGAUGAAGUGUUGACUUGGACUGUUCAGAUUGAUGACUGAGUGAUGAUUUGAAUGCCGAUGCACCUUGUAUUACACUGUAUUUAGAUUUGACUUGUGAACUGUCGAUUUUGUGAGAGCAAUUGUGCAUCUCCUACACCAUUUUUCUCUUGUUUUAGGCGUCAGUUAUCACUUACUAUAGCGGACAGUUUUACUUCCUGCUGUAUGGCAUAAUUCUAACAGUCGAUUUUUCGUUACAUGUUGUGAUUCGUUUUGCUUUCCA
Long non-coding RNA from Pyrus x bretschneideri (Chinese white pear), 594 nucleotides. RefSeq lists it as uncharacterized. Lineage: Eukaryota; Viridiplantae; Streptophyta; Magnoliopsida; Rosales; Rosaceae. The record is from RefSeq and is a predicted model, not a curated record. The transcript is spliced from 4 exons.